Molecule: ribosomal RNA, 466 nt
Filed under: uncultured bacterium
Lineage: Bacteria
Description: partial 16S ribosomal RNA
Rfam family: Bacterial small subunit ribosomal RNA
Source: RNAcentral
GACGAACGCUGGCGGCGUGCUUAACACAUGCAAGUCGGACGGAAAGGCCCUGCUUGCAGGGUACUCGAGUGGCGAACGGGUGAGUAACACGUGGGUGAUCUGCCCUGCACUUCGGGAUAAGCUUGGGAAACUGGGUCGAAUACCGGAUAGGAACCAUCUUGAGUGUGGUGGUUGGAAAGUUUUUUCGGUGUAGGAUGAGCUCGCGGCAUAUCAGCUUGUUGGUGGGGUAAUGGCCUACCAAGGCGGCGACGGGUAGCCGGCCUGAGAGGGUGUACGGCCACAUUGGGACUGAGAUACGGCCCAGACUCCUACGGGAGGCAGCAGGGGGGAAUAUUGCACAAUGGGCGCAAGCCUGAUGCAGCGACGCCGCGUGGGGGAUGAAGGCCUUCGGGUUGUAAACUCCUUUCUCUAGGGACGAAGCUUUGUUGUGACGGUACCUAGAUAAGAAGCACCGGCUAACUACGUG